Molecule: small RNA, 22 nt
Filed under: Arabidopsis thaliana (thale cress)
Lineage: Eukaryota; Viridiplantae; Streptophyta; Magnoliopsida; Brassicales; Brassicaceae
Description: ATSL238480
Source: RNAcentral
AGGUUUAUCGUCUUCUUCAAUA